Long non-coding RNA from Homo sapiens (human), 248 nucleotides. The record is from Ensembl. Lineage: Eukaryota; Metazoa; Chordata; Mammalia; Primates; Hominidae.
CAGAUUGCUGAUUUGGUCAAGAUGUAAACAUAUCGUAGAGCUCCAGCAUGGGGGCUCACGCCUGUAAUACAAACACUUUGGAAGGCCAAGGUGGGAGAAUCACUCAAGCCCAGGAGUUUAAGAUCAACCUGGGCAACAAAGGCUACCACAUAAAGAAUAUGACAUUAUUAAAUUCCCCUGCAGUUACACAGAGCAGUGGCUCUACAGUUUCUUGUUGGCUGAAUUAAGCAUUUAAAGAAAUGUUUAAG